GCCUUCGUGGUGUAGUGGUCAACACACUCGGCGUGUAUUCGAGAGGUUCGAAUCCGUGAUUCGGAUGUUGCUCGCCGGGAUUCGAAUUCCGUGGUUCGAAUCCCGGCGAGGGCA
RNAcentral lists this transfer RNA (114 nucleotides) under Stegodyphus mimosarum. It matches the Rfam family "tRNA". Rfam says of the family: Transfer RNA (tRNA) molecules are approximately 80 nucleotides in length. Their secondary structure includes four short double-helical elements and three loops (D, anti-codon, and T loops). Further hydrogen bonds mediate the characteristic L-shaped molecular structure. tRNAs have two regions of fundamental functional importance: the anti-codon, which is responsible for specific mRNA codon recognition, and the 3' end, to which the tRNAs corresponding amino acid is attached (by aminoacyl-tRNA synthetases). tRNAs cope with the degeneracy of the genetic code in two manners: having more than one tRNA (with a specific anti-codon) for a particular amino acid; and 'wobble' base-pairing, i.e. permitting non-standard base-pairing at the 3rd anti-codon position. Lineage: Eukaryota; Metazoa; Arthropoda; Arachnida; Araneae; Eresidae. The record is from Rfam by way of RNAcentral.